GAUGAACGCUGGCGGCGUGCCUAAUACAUGCAAGUCGAGCGAACAGACGAGGAGCUUGCUCCUCUGACGUUAGCGGCGGACGGGUGAGUAACACGUGGAUAACCUACCUAUAAGACUGGGAUAACUUCGGGAAACCGGAGCUAAUACCGGAUAAUAUAUUGAACCGCAUGGUUCAAUAGUGAAAGACGGUUUUGCUGUCACUUAUAGAUUGAUCCGCGCCGCAUUAGCUAGUUGGUAAGGUAACGGCUUACCAAGGCAACGAUGCGUAGCCGACCUGAGAGGGUGAUCGGCCACCCUGGAACUGAGACACGGUCCAGACUCCUACGGGAGGCAGCAGUAGGGAAUCUUCCGCAAUGGGCGAAAGCCUGACGGAGCAACGCCGCGUGAGUGAUGAAGGUCUUCGGCUCGUAAAACUCUGUUAUUAGGGAAGAACAAAUGUGUAAGUAACUAUGCACGUCUUGACGGUACCUAAUCAGAAAGCCACGGCUAACUACGUG
RNAcentral lists this ribosomal RNA (497 nucleotides) under uncultured bacterium. RNAcentral describes it as "partial 16S ribosomal RNA". It matches the Rfam family "Bacterial small subunit ribosomal RNA", at positions 28 to 507 of the family's 1533-position model. The record is from RNAcentral.